RNAcentral lists this unclassified non-coding RNA (160 nucleotides) under soil metagenome. RNAcentral describes it as "partial internal transcribed spacer 1". The record is from RNAcentral.
CAGAGUGUAAAAACUCCCAAAACCCAUGUGAACAUACCUUUUUGUUGCUUCGGCGGGAUCGCCCCGGGCGCCUUGUGUGCCCCGGAGUCAGGCGCCCGCCGGGGGACCCAAACUCUUGUUUUUAACGAGUAUCUUCUGAGUAACGUUUUUAAAUAAAUAA